This 253-nucleotide ribosomal RNA is filed under the name uncultured bacterium. RNAcentral describes it as "partial 16S ribosomal RNA". It matches the Rfam family "Bacterial small subunit ribosomal RNA", at positions 524 to 776 of the family's 1533-position model. The record is from RNAcentral.
UACGUAGGGACCAAGCGUUGUUCGGAUUCAUUGGGCGUAAAGGGUGCGUAGGCGGCGCGGUAAGUCGGGUGUGAAAUCUUGGAGCUUAACUCCGAAACUGCAUUCGAUACUGCCGUGCUUGAGGACUGGAGAGGAGACUGGAAUUUACGGUGUAGCGGUGAAAUGCGUAGAUAUCGUAAGGAAGACCAGUGGCGAAGGCGGGUCUCUGGACAGUUCCUGACGCUGAGGCACGAAGGCCAGGGGAGCAAACGGG